AGGACGAACGCUGGCGGCGUGCCUAACACAUGCAAGUCGAACGAGGUCCAUCAGGUGGCAACACCUGGGAAGACCUAGUGGCGAACGGGUGAGUAACACGUGGGCAACCUGCCCUCAGCUCUGGGAUAACCCCGGGAAACCGGGGCUAAUACCGGAUACGACCUCCACGGGCAUCUGCGGAGGUGGAAAGGUUUUUCCGGCUGAGGAUGGGCCCGCGGCCUAUCAGCUAGUUGGUGGGGUGAUGGCCCACCAAGGCGACGACGGGUA
This 267-nucleotide ribosomal RNA is filed under the name uncultured bacterium. RNAcentral's name for it is "partial small subunit ribosomal RNA". It matches the Rfam family "Bacterial small subunit ribosomal RNA", at positions 26 to 285 of the family's 1533-position model. The record is from RNAcentral.